RNAcentral lists this long non-coding RNA (211 nucleotides) under Solanum tuberosum (potato). RNAcentral's name for it is "long non-coding RNA (STUB_LNC010182)". Lineage: Eukaryota; Viridiplantae; Streptophyta; Magnoliopsida; Solanales; Solanaceae. The record is from RNAcentral.
AAUAAUAGCAUUAAGGCAAUUAACUACGUUCAAGAAAGGGUAUAGGAAUUAAAUAUUCAUUCCCUCAUUUCAUACAAGAACAUACAACAUCAAAAGAGGAAAAAAGAAAUGUACAGUUGAUGUUUGUCAUGGCAACAUUGGAAAGUCCAGAAGUUGUGAAACCACUAGAAUUUGAAUGACAGAUAAAAGCAGAAUGUUUCCAACAACGUCU